AUGCAAGUCGUACGAGAUGGCCCAUUGAAGUUUGAGUGCUUGCACAAUUUCUGAUUUGGAUUUUCCAUCUAGUGGCGGACGGGUGAGUAACACGUGGGUGACCUACCUUUGAGUUUGGGAUAACUACUGGAAACGGUAGCUAAUACCGAAUGAUAUACAGUUUCGUUUCUGUAUUAAAAGGCGCUUCAAAGCGUCGCUUAAAGAUGGGCCUGCGGCGUAUUAGCUAGUUGGUGGGGUAAUGGCCUACCAAGGCGACGAUGCGUAGCCGGACUGAGAGGUUGAACGGCCACAUUGGGACUGAGACACGGCCCAAACUCCUACGGGAGACAGCAGUUAGGAAUAUUCGUCAAUGGGGGAAACCCUGAACGAGCAAUGCCGCGUGAGUGAUGAAGGUCCUUUGGAUUGUAAAACUCUGUUGUAUGGGAAGAAUGGCCAAACUAGGAAAUGAGUUUGGAGUGACGGUACCAUGCCAGAAAGCUCCGGCUAACUACGUGCCAGCAGCCGCGGUAAUACGUAGGGAGCGAGCGUUAUCCGGAUUUAUUGGGCGUAAAGGGUGCGUAGGCGGCUUGUUAAGUAUGAAAUUAAAGCCCGGGGCUUAACUCCGGUUCGUUUCAUAAACUGGCUUGCUUGAGUAUGGAAGAGGUAAACGGAAUUUCUAGUGUAGCGGUGGAAUGCGUAGAUAUUAGAAGGAACACCAGUGGCGAAGGCGGUUUACUGGGCCAUUACUGACGCUGAGGCACGAAAGCGUGGGGAGCAAAUAGGAUUAGAUACCCUAGUAGUCCACGCCGUAAACGAUGAGUAGUAAGUGUUGGGGUUUCCCAGUGCUGAAGUUAACAUAUUAAGUACUCCGCCUGAGUAGUACGGUCGCAAGGCUGCAACGCAAAGGAAUUGACGGA
RNAcentral lists this ribosomal RNA (896 nucleotides) under uncultured Bacillota bacterium. Its description in RNAcentral is "bacterial SSU rRNA". It matches the Rfam family "Bacterial small subunit ribosomal RNA", at positions 55 to 917 of the family's 1533-position model. The record is from RNAcentral. Lineage: Bacteria; Bacillati; Bacillota.